Molecule: ribosomal RNA, 301 nt
Filed under: uncultured bacterium
Lineage: Bacteria
Description: partial 16S ribosomal RNA
Rfam family: Bacterial small subunit ribosomal RNA
Source: RNAcentral
CAGCAGCCGCGGGAACACGGAGGGGGCUAGCGUUGUUCGGAAUUACUGGGCGUAAAGCGCACGUAGGCGGCUUGAUAAGUUAGAGGUGAAAGCCCGGGGCUCAACCCCGGAACUGCCUUUGAAACUAGCUGACUGGAAUCUUGGAGAGGUCAGUGGAAUUCCGAGUGUAGGGGUGAAAUUCGUAGAUAUUCGGAAGAACACCAGUGGCGAAGGCGACUGACUGGACAAGUAUUGACGCUGAGGUGCGAAAGCGUGGGGAGCAAACAGGAUUAGAUACCCCUGUAGUCCCUGUCUCUUAUAC